CCGGACGUAGUGCACGGCGCACUCCAGCUAUUCAUACGGCUGUUUGCACCAUCGCGUGAAUAGCUGGACAGCAGAUCUGGGUUCGACUCCCAGUGUCCGGG
This is a non-coding RNA of Mycena olivaceomarginata, 101 nucleotides long. The record is from the annotation of a GenBank genome assembly. Lineage: Eukaryota; Fungi; Basidiomycota; Agaricomycetes; Agaricales; Mycenaceae.